Molecule: non-coding RNA, 392 nt
Filed under: Solanum lycopersicum (tomato)
Lineage: Eukaryota; Viridiplantae; Streptophyta; Magnoliopsida; Solanales; Solanaceae
Description: Eukaryotic large subunit ribosomal RNA
Rfam family: Eukaryotic large subunit ribosomal RNA
Source: Rfam by way of RNAcentral
ACAGUGUCGCAAUAGUAAUUCAACCUAGUACGAGAGGAAAUGUUGAUUCACACAAUUGGCCAUCACGCUUGGUUGAAAAGCCAGUGGCGUGAAGCUACCGUGUGCUGGAUUAUGACUAAACUCCUCUAAGUCAGAAUCCGGGAUAGAAGCUACGCAUUCGCCUGUUGUCCGCUUGCCGACCCCCAAUAGGGGCCUAUUGCCCCCAAGGGCACAUGUCGUUGGCUAAAUCGCCGUGACAUAAGCAUCGCGGUGACCGCCUUGAAGUACAAUUUCCAUCGAGCGGCAGGUACAAUCCUUUGCAUACUACUUUAAUACGCGAUGGGGUAUUAUAAGUGGCAGAGUGGCCUUGCUGCCAUGAUCCACUAAGAUUCAGCCCUUUGUCGUUCCGAUUC